Molecule: ribosomal RNA, 449 nt
Filed under: uncultured bacterium
Lineage: Bacteria
Description: partial 16S ribosomal RNA
Rfam family: Bacterial small subunit ribosomal RNA
Source: RNAcentral
GGCCAGACUCCUACGGGAGGCAGCAGUGGGGAAUAUUGCACAAUGGGGGAAACCCUGAUGCAGCGACGCCGCGUGAGUGAAGAAGUAUUUCGGUAUGUAAAGCUCUCUCAGCAGGAAAGAAAAUGACGGUACCUGACUAAGAAGCCCCGGCUAACUACGUGCCAGCAGCCGCGGUAAUACGUAGGGGGCAAGCGUUAUCCGGAUUUACUGGGUGUAAAGGGAGCGUAGACGGUGAAGCAAGUCUGAAGUGAAAGGCGGGGGCUCAACCCCCGGACUGCUUUGGAAACUGUUUGACUGGAGUGCAGGAGAGGUAAGUGGAAUUCCUAGUGUAGCGGUGAAAUGCGUAGAUAUUAGGAGGAACACCAGUGGCGAAGGCGGCUUACUGGACUGUAACUGACGUUGAGGCUCGAAAGCGUGGGGAGCAAACAGGAUUAGAUACCCCCGUAGCA